This is a long non-coding RNA of Brassica rapa (field mustard), 6212 nucleotides long. RefSeq lists it as uncharacterized. The record is from RefSeq and is a predicted model, not a curated record. Lineage: Eukaryota; Viridiplantae; Streptophyta; Magnoliopsida; Brassicales; Brassicaceae.
GGGGGUUUGGACCCCUCUAACUCAUUAGCCUUAUGUGAACUUGAUCUCCCUUUCUUUGAACUGUUGUGACAACUGUGCUUAUGACGAUUUGUGUGUCUCGAAGAAGAGACACCAUGAUUCCUUGGAGAACCUCGACGAAGGAACUCUGUUUUUCUAAUUGGCAUACCACGUGUAACUACAUGCCGUGAACUCCCCUUGUAUGAAGGUUUGGUUCUAGCCUCAGCUGGAUUGAGAGAACGUGACCCCACGUGAUGAGAUUCAUCGCCGUCCUCCAUGUCUUCUAAAUCCUCACCAAUUAGAUCAUCCGCUGCCUCAUCCAACACCUCAGCAUCCCUAGAUGCAUCAUGUUGCCGCAACACUAAGCCAUCUGAUUCCCAAUAUCCAUGUCCUGUAAAGCGCCUAUCACCUGGCCAUUUUCCAUAUCAUCCAUGUAGUUUUCUUUCUCCAUAUGAGAGAAAUUAAUAGCACGAGGCUCACCCUUAUCACGAAGUGUGACAUUUGUCAUAUUGAUAACGAUCACGCUCUGUUCUAUCAGCCAACAAAGAUUGGCGUGUAUUUGGCUCAAAAGGGAGAUGAACUGCGAGAACACCCCAGCCUCCUUAGCCUGUAGCCUCUGUUCCUCCAUUUUCUUAGGACAGUGUGUGGCUUCGUGAGAUAGGAAACCACAGUAUGAGCAAUGCUUGAAGAGCUUCUCAUAUUUGAACUGAAUAGUAACCUCAUCACCUCGUGGAGAUUGUACCUUCUUGUUAAAGACUAACGACUUCCUUGUGUCAGCCUCCACCAGUAAGCGACCCGCUGACAGUUCAAUCGUGUCAACGUGUCCGAGCUUCUUCCCAAUAUUCUUUAAGUUCUUCACUGUCCAGAGAUGGAGCGGUAUUCCUAUGAUCUCCACCCAGAAAGGAAUGAUCCAGGAAUACUCAUCAUGAACAAUGGGCUCCGAUCAGACCAUCACAAACAUAAAGAAGUUAUAGUGAAAUGGCCCUUGACUAAGUACAUCCUGUAUAUCCUCUUCUGAUGAAAAGUUGAACAAGAACUUCCUAUUACCAAGAUCAUUGGCCAUAACUCUGUCUUGUACUCCCCAUUGGGUCGGCAUAGAUAUGAUCAGCUUCUCAACAUCUUGUUUCUUCGGGUUUAAGAUUUUACCAAUCGGUGACAUAUGGAACUCCCGAAUUGAGAAUCCUCCUCCUCUUCCAACUGAAUAGGAUCGUCGUCUUCUUCAUACAAGAUCCCUUUUCCCUUCAAAUCUGUCAUAGGAGCAGAUGAAAACCUCUGAGAGGUUCCCAUAUUACACAUCAGAGAAACACAUAUCCAACGUAAAACCAAAAUACACACCAGCCAAAGGGCUCGUUAUAUGAGAUCCGGGCCUGAUAUCGAGAGAUCGGACAAAUCAACCAGCCAAAGAACUAGUAAACACAGAUCCAACCUUGAUAUCAAAAGUUCAAAAAACAAAUAAAGGCCAAAUAGAGUGUCAAAACGAAACCGAGAUGAAAUCUUAUACAACUUUCUUGAUGGAGAAGCCACGAUAAUCCAUUGCCCACUGUGUGAGAAAACCUGGAUCCAGAAGAGUGAGAGAGUCGAUGCUAACACAAAUAAUCAUUGUGGGCAUGUUACUCAUACUAUAAUCGUAUACUUGUUUAGCAUAACGACCCUACAUAGUACACAUCAUCUUCACAUUACUGUAUAAUAUAAACUUAAGUUAAUAAAUAUAAUAUACAUAUUUAGGUAGCAAAUAAGAAAAGGUAAAGUACUUAAGCUUACUUUUGGUCACGUAACUCAAUCAAGAGCCUCAUGUUAUCUUUUCCUUUUAUCAUUUUGUUUUCAAUAGAACCGAAGUUAACUAUUUGACCAAUAACAUCUACAUUCCAAAAUAAAAAUAAUUAAAUUAACACAAAUAAUACAAAACCAAAAGAAUAUCUAAACUUUACAAAUUCAAUUAAGUAGGUAUAAUAUUAAAGUUAUUUAAUAAGCAGAUUAAUAGCCUUAAAAUCAUAUAUAAAUUAUUAGUGCAUGAACAAUUCCCAGUUGAAAAUUACUUACCAACCAAACGACUUUUAUCAGCUUUUCCACCAGGAAUUUCAGUGUAAUCAGCCAAAUACUUCUCAGGAACUUCACUUGGAAAAUUAUUUGGUUUUGCAACAAAAGUCGCGUGGAAGAACCCAAUUUUGUACGGAUGAGAGCUUGUCUGAUAAUCACCAAUAGCAUCGUACACUUUGAAUAACUGGACAACCUUCAAAUUUUUUGAUGAGCUGUUCACAAACUGAAGCAUGAAAUUUUAUCCCUGAUCGAAUAUAUGAAAGUUAUGAGUUAGACAAAUAAAUUAUAAGGGUUGACGGAAAGCAGAAUAAGUAGUUAUGAAACACUAUAAAAAAUAUUGUUCAUUGUAAAGUAAAUAUAAUAUAUGACGAUUAUGAGUUUUGAGAAAUUUAGUACCAAAAACAAAUACCAUUUCGAUGGUGUUGUCGUAUUCUUUGUUAUAAUUUCUCCACAAGCGAAAAAAUCCGUACUUCAAUAUGCCAUGUAUCUUUAGACGGGUUUUUAAAAAUUGUUAGGAAAAGAGAAUAGUUGUAUUGUAAGACGUUAGACGUUUGGGGUUCCAGUUAUAUAUAUAGUCUACCUUCCACAUUAGACAUUUAUUAGGGAAUAUUUUACAUAAUAAAUGACGUUUUUGAAAUAAUUUUUAUCAAGAAAGAAACUAAAAUUAUAUUACCAUAAGGUGAAAUGCAAUAAACACAAUACCAACUUGGCACAAGUAAUCCAUAUUCAAAAAGGGUAAAUUAUUAAAAGCGAGCUAACAAAUUAUAAUGCAUUAACUAUUAUCAACUUGCGCAAGUAAUAGGGGAAUUUAAAAAAAUGGUAAAGUUAUAAAUAAACGGGCAAAAAAUUAUAAACAUUAAGGUUACUUAGGUAAAUUAUUAAAAACAAUAAGGUAAAUUACAUUUAAACAAUGCAAUAAAUACUAGCAACUUGCUAGGGAUGGCAAUUGGACCGCGAUCCGCGGGCCUGGCCCGUAAAAGUCCCAUGCAGGACGGGUUUGUGCUUAGGCCCGAUAAAGUGCGGGCCUUUCGGGCUGGGUAAUUUUGGGUUUGGGCCAUAGCGGGUUGGGUCUACGCGGUUUAGCGGGACGUGGGAAGCCCGCAUUUCUUCAUUUUCAUCUUUCAGACUUCUCACCGACGAGGAGACGACUCUUGCGACCACCGAAGCUUCUCUUCUUCCUCCAGCCACCGCCGGAGCUUCUCUUAUUCGUCGAUCAACCACCAUAGGCCGUAGCUUCUCUUUCUCGGUUAAACAGGUGUCGAUUUCUUCCUCUGAGUAGACACCAUUUAAGUAUCAAUAGUGAUCCCAAGAUCCAUGAUGGAUGGUUUUGACUUUUGUAUGCAAGCUUGAAUCUUAGAGUACACGCCUGUUCGUUCAGAUUCUGCUAUUGACUACCAAUGCACUUGCUCUGUUGCCGAUAGGGAUUAGUGUAAAUCAGCUGCGUUCUCUUCCUGAAGGUGCUACUACCAUGGCUGUUCCAGUUGCUAUGGGUGCAUACAUCUGUAGUUAUGUACCUUUAACUUUGUUACUGUGCCAUCCUUUGCAUCUGUCUACAACGAGUAUGCUCUAAAGAGCCAGUACGACACAAGCAUUCAUCUCUAGCUAAUCCUCAUACAAGUUUUUUCCUUAUGGCAUCAGAGAAGUGAGGAUCUUCUAGUAACAUUGGAAGGCUUCUGGUGACCGUUGCUUGUAGAAUUAGAUGUUUAGUCAUGUUAAUAAAACUGAUGUGAUAAUCGUUGAUAAUAAUACUUGUGCAUUGAUUCCAGCUUAGUAACUCGUUUAUACACUAUGUUAUCUGUGUCGUUUUAGUUUUAAACCCUACUUCUAGUGUGUCGUUAGUUUCUGUAAAUUAUAAAUAAUUAAUUUUAAAAAAAUUAAAUUUAAAAUAUUUACAAAAUUAAAAACCCUAACAAAUAAACCUAAACACACGAUACCUAUUCUCUCACCGUCUCACGACUCAUCGUGACUUUGUGAGGAAAACAUAAACACAAAAAAAACUUGAGAAAGCAAGAGGCUAUGGAUCCUAAUUUCAAGCUAUUCGAUACCUGUGACUUGGACACACAAGGACUGAUAGCAGCUCUUAACGCUACUACUGAUGCUUUUUGUGAUGAUGGAAAGAAGCAAGAACGGAAACGAAGGCUGAUCGAAGUAGAUGAUGAUGAAGUUGAUACUCCCAUUUUCGUAUGUGGAGUAUGAAAAAGUGAGAGACACUUGGAGUUAUUUGAAUGCUGAUGUCCAAACCAUUUGUCGAAACACGGCGAAAGCAGAUGUGUUCCGGUUGUUUGAAAGCGACAGAGAUACACUGAUGAGGGAAUUGGCGAGUCUUCCUGGAAGAGUUUCCUUGACGUCUGAUUUGUGGUCAUCGCUAAAACGUGAGGGUUAUAUAUGUGUGACGGCUCAUUACAUUGAUCGAAAUUGGAAGUCGAACAGCAAGAUCUUGACGUUUUUUGCUUUAUCACCACCACAUACGGGUAUGAAUGUUGCGAUGCAGCUCCUUGAAUCACUGAAAGAGUGGGGAAUAGAAAAAAAGGUGUUCUCGAUCACAUUCCAUAAUGCUACAAGCAACGACUCGAUGCAAGAUAUUGUGAAAUCGCAGCUGAUGUUGAACGAUGACUUGUUGUGUGGUGGAGAAUUUUUCCAUGUCAGAUGUGCAGCUCACAUACUUACCUCAAAGUGCAAGAUGGUUUGAAGGUUAUUGGAGGUUCUUUGCACAAAGUAAGAGAGAGUAUUAAGUAUGUAUGAGCAUCGGAAGCGCGUGAAGUAUUGUUUGAUAAAUGUGUGGUUGCUGCUGGUAUAAAGGAAAAUGCGGGUCUGAUACUGGAUGUGCAGACAAGAUGAAAUUCGACUUUCUAUAUGCUUGAAAAAGCCAUCAAGUUCCGCAAAGCGUUUCUUAAGUUGGAGACUUUUGAUAGGAGAUGUUAUAAAAUGGCGCCUACAGCUGAGGAAUGGACAAGAGCUGAGAAUAUUUGCUGUUUUUUGGGACCUUUCGCUGUGAUUACAAGUUUGAUGUCUGGUUCCAAUUACCCGACUUCAAACUUGUAUUUCUAUCAGGUUUGGUUGAUCCAUGAUUGGCUUCGAAUUAAUGAAGAAAGCCAAGAUGAGGUUGUCAGAGAGAUGGUGCCACCGAUGAAAGAGAAGUUCGAUAAAUAUUGGGAAGAAGUCAGUUGUGUUUUCGCGAUGGCAGUCGUCUUUGAUCCACGUUUUAAGCUUUCUAUUGUGGAUUGUUGUUUAGGGAAGCUUGACAUGAGUACAUGUGAUGCAAAGUUGAGAAACUUGCGUGAUAAGCUUAGUACUCUGUUUGAGUCUUACGACAAAAAAUCUAAAGACUAACUCACCUUCUACAGAGCCACGUGAGACGGUUCCACAAAAUGUUUUGUGCUGAAGGGUCAAUGGGUAUGUUUGAGAACUACAAUGUGAGUGUUUCGAUUUUUUUUAACAUUCUGUUUAUUUAUUUUUUUUAAAUAGUUUUUGAUCUUUUUUUAAACCUUCAUAGGAUUUCUUUGCGUUUCGCAAAGUCAGCGGUGUUGUGAGUGGAAAAACACCUCUAGAAGCUUAUCUUGAUGAACCACCCUUGGACUUUAAUAGUUUCCGGAGCAUGGACAUUCUCAAGUGGUGGAAAGAUAAUACUCAUAGGUAUGGCGAUUUGUCAGCAGUGGCUUGUGAUUUACUGAGUAUUCCUAUUACAACAGUGGCUUCAGAGUCUUCCUUUAGCAUUGGAUCGCGAGUCCUUAAUAAAUACAGGAGCCGUCUACUCCCGAAGAAUGUGCAAGCUCUGAUGUGUACUAGGAACUGGCUAAAGGGAUAUGAAGCUUAUUAACAUGGUAAAAUAUUCUCAUUAUCAUAUAAUUUUGAGUACCAUGACUAUUAAUAUUUACUAACUUCAACUAUUGAUAUUUUCUAAAGAUGAAAUUCAUGAUGAAGAAGAGAAGCUACCAUCAUUUGAAUCCAUUGUCAAUGGUGAAGAUGAAGAUGAAGAAGAAGAAGUUUAAUUUAAUUUUAUUUUGAUUUGGUGUUUUGCUUUUAUCUACAUUUAGAAUGACUGUUUGGAUUUGGGUUUUUAUUAUGUUUGGGAUUCAUCGUUUGGAUCUGGUGUUUUUUUUUUAACUUAAAUUUGGUUAAGACUUGAAAAAUUUGCAGUGUUUGUCUGUGCUUUUAGUAAUGUACUUUUGCAAACAAUA